RNAcentral lists this ribosomal RNA (322 nucleotides) under uncultured eukaryote. RNAcentral describes it as "partial 18S ribosomal RNA". It matches the Rfam family "Eukaryotic small subunit ribosomal RNA", at positions 1470 to 1796 of the family's 1831-position model. The record is from RNAcentral.
CCCUUAGAUGUUCUGGGCUGCACGCGCGCUACACUGACAUGUUCAACAAGUUUCUCCUAGUUCGACAGGACUGGGAAAUCUUUGAACGCAUGUCGUGAUAGGGAUAGAUCAUUGCAAUUAUUGAUCUUGAACGAGGAAUUCCUAGUAAACGCGAGUCAUCAGCUCGCAUUGAUUACGUCCCUGCCCUUUGUACACACCACCCGUCGCACCUACCGAUUGAAUGUUUCGGUGAAGAUUCCGGAUAGGACUGAUUUGAUUUAUUUCAUUUCUGACCUAAAAGCUAUCUAAACCUCAACAUUUAGAGGAAGGUGAAGUCGUAACA